ACGAUGCCAUCAGUCCCCAUAGAUUAUUCUCGUCCCUGACAACGAGUUAAGCGACGACCAUCACCACCAUCCACCACCGCCGACUAAGGCCUUGAGGAGCGCAUCCGUCGGGCGGCGACGACCACGGCGGUCGGGGGGCUUCUAGCCACACUUCUUGGCGGAGGUGGAGGAGGCGAAGGCCCAGGUGACGCCGAAGGGGUCGACGAGGGUGGCGCCCAGCCCGCAGCCGUCCUCGGUUACCUCCCCCUGCAGCGCCGCACCGGCGGUCGCCGCCUGCGCCGCGGCAGCGUUCACGUCGUCGGUCUCCAGGCGCAGAACCAGCCCACUAGCGGCGGCGCCUUCCUUGCCCCUGCAACAAACAACAAGCACCAAAAGUGUGAGACUUUGAGCAGGGAACAGAGUUUUAAUGUCCAUUUAUUUGCUCGGUGUUAAGUAAAUAGCAAAACCUCGUACUCCAGAAUACUAGUACUAUGUAACCGAGCAAUAACUGUUUCACAUUUUUCUCCAAAUGAAAUAUAAAAUAAAAGUAUUAAACACAGAUUUCUUUGGAGAGAUGCCACUGCAAUGAGUAGAUCUAUUUUUAUUUUUUUUGAAAAGGUGAGUAGAUCUAUUCUUCUCUAAAAAAUUAUGGCAAUAUCUGAGUUCAAAAACAGUAGCAAACUCAUUUCCUGUGUGCCUUCGCAGUUUCCAAAGUAGACAAAGUACAGAUGAACUGCACGAGGCCAAAAGAGCACCAAAAAGAGUGCAGACAAACAAAGUAGGACAAGGGAGAAAACAAAAAACAAAACAGGGUUCUAUUUCCAUGAUGUUCCACUUCCACACCUUCAGAUCUACAUUAAUAAAUGCUAACAGAAUCACAUGUGGAUGUUGACGUACCGAAAAGAUCUAUGUAAGCGGCCCCAAAAAAACCCCAAGAAACCAGUGCAGAGCAGCAGUGAAGCUGAAGAAUGGUAGUUCCAAGCUAAAACUAACUGGAUCUAAAAUUCCUGACAAGUGCCAAACUGAUUCUCACAAUACUAAAGCAGAUGUUCACAGAUCUACGAACUUCAACGCAAAAUAUGUGACAAGAAACGAAAUAGCAGUGCAUCUACCAUGUAUUACAUGCCAAGAACAACAAAAAAGAAUGGGAACUAGGAAGGAAAGGAGCAGAAAGGGUUUAGCGAGGGUUUCCGGGAGCUUACACGGCGGGGACGUCGUCGCCGGCCUGGUCACAGACGAGCAGGGUCGCCGCGCCGACCUUCAGCUCGGCGCAGAGCAGGGCCGCCGCCUCCCCGUCACCCUUGCGCUUCGGGUGGGUGGAGCGGGACACCUCCUCCGCGGCGAAAGCGGCCUUGUAGAAGGCCACCGCCUCCUCGGCGCGCCCUGCCGGAACCGUCACCUGCACCUUCAGCCCGGAGAACACCGCCGGCGCCGGCACGGCCGCCGGGGCGGCGAGCACCUCAGAGCCGUUGGUCGCCACCUCCGCCAUUGCUCAGGGAAGAUUUGGCUCUCCUUUACUGUUGUGCGUUCCUUUCUCCUUGGGAGCACAGCAGAGUGGG
This 1538-nucleotide long non-coding RNA is filed under the name Setaria viridis. RNAcentral's name for it is "long non-coding RNA (SVIR_LNC003337)". The record is from RNAcentral. Lineage: Eukaryota; Viridiplantae; Streptophyta; Magnoliopsida; Poales; Poaceae.